CCUCUUCAAAUUCACAGAACCAAGGCCUAUAUUCGUCCUGUCUCUUCGGGGACUAUGGACAUAAAUGCGCUCGUAAUAAGCGGAUCGGACCCGGGGGCGGUACCCGGCGUCUCCACCAAACAUCCUUCAUUUGGGGAUCAUGGGGACGAAAUAGGAUCGACGAACGUCUAAAGGGGUUAGCUUUGUCUCGGCUGUCUGCCACCGUUACCGGCGAAAACUGUACAAUUGCAAAUGACAAUCGUGCUCCGGUAGCCCUCGCUGCGUAAGCAGUUCGGAAAACCGAAAACUUAAGUCCUCUCGCUUUGCAGCGUUUGGCGGGGUUCGCAGGUACCUGGCAACAGAAACCUGCACU
RNAcentral lists this transfer-messenger RNA (352 nucleotides) under Parasedimentitalea huanghaiensis. RNAcentral describes it as "Zongyanglinia huanghaiensis Alphaproteobacteria transfer-messenger RNA". It matches the Rfam family "Alphaproteobacteria transfer-messenger RNA". Rfam says of the family: Bacterial tmRNA, also known as 10Sa RNA or SsrA, is named for its dual tRNA and mRNA-like properties. Lineage: Bacteria; Pseudomonadati; Pseudomonadota; Alphaproteobacteria; Rhodobacterales; Paracoccaceae. The record is from Rfam by way of RNAcentral.